CAGCAGUCGCCGCGGUAAUACAGAGGGUGCGAGCGUUAAUCGGAUUUACUGGGCGUAAAGCGUGCGUAGGCGGCUUUUUAAGUCGGAUGUGAAAUCCCUGAGCUUAACUUAGGAAUUGCAUUCGAUACUGGGAAGCUAGAGUAUGGGAGAGGAUGGUAGAAUUCCAGGUGUAGCGGUGAAAUGCGUAGAGAUCUGGAGGAAUACCGAUGGCGAAGGCAGCCAUCUGGCCUAAUACUGACGCUGAGGUACGAAAGCAUGGGGAGCAAACAGGAUUAGAUACCCCGGUAGUCCCUGUCUCUUAUAC
This 304-nucleotide ribosomal RNA is filed under the name uncultured bacterium. Its description in RNAcentral is "partial 16S ribosomal RNA". It matches the Rfam family "Bacterial small subunit ribosomal RNA", at positions 509 to 807 of the family's 1533-position model. The record is from RNAcentral.